GAUGAACGCUGGCGGCGUGCCUAAUACAUGCAAGUCGAGCGAACGGACGAGAAGCUUGCUUUUCUGAUGUUAGCGGCGGACGGGUGAGUAACACGUGGAUAACCUACCUAUAAGACUGGGAUAACUUCGGGAAACCGGAGCUAAUGCCGGAUAAUAUUUUGAACCGCAUGGUUCAAAAGUGAAAGACGGUCUUGCUGUCACUUAUAGAUGGAUCCGCGCUGCAUUAGCUAGUUGGUAAGGUAACGGCUUACCAAGGCAACGAUGCAUAGCCGACCUGAGAGGGUGAUCGGCCACACUGGAACUGAGACACGGUCCAGUCUCCUACGGGAGGCAGCAGUAGGGAAUCUUCCGCAAUGGGCGAAAGCCUGACGGAGCAACGCCGCGUGAGUGAUGAAGGUCUUCGGAUCGUAAAACUCUGUUAUUAGGGAAGAACAUAUGUGUAAGUAACUGUGCACAUCUUGACGGUACCUAAUCAGAAAGCCACGGCUAACUACGUG
This 497-nucleotide ribosomal RNA is filed under the name uncultured bacterium. RNAcentral describes it as "partial 16S ribosomal RNA". It matches the Rfam family "Bacterial small subunit ribosomal RNA", at positions 28 to 507 of the family's 1533-position model. The record is from RNAcentral.